This 233-nucleotide ribosomal RNA is filed under the name uncultured Candidatus Saccharibacteria bacterium. RNAcentral describes it as "partial 16S ribosomal RNA". It matches the Rfam family "Bacterial small subunit ribosomal RNA", at positions 584 to 818 of the family's 1533-position model. The record is from RNAcentral. Lineage: Bacteria; Candidatus Saccharimonadota.
UAAGCAAAUAUGAAAGUGUAAGGCUCAACCUUACGACUGUGUUUGAACUGAAGAACUAGAGGAUGGUAGAGGAAGUUGGAAUUCCUGGUGCAGGAGUGAAAUCCGUAGAUAUCAGGAGGAACACCAAUGGCGAAGGCAGACUUCUGGGCCAUUCCUGACACUGAGGCUCGAAAGCGUGGGGAGCGAACCGGAUUAGAUACCCGGGUAGUCCACGCCGUAAACGAUGGAUGCUA